This 22-nucleotide small nuclear RNA is filed under the name Arabidopsis thaliana (thale cress). RNAcentral describes it as "snRNA_09408". The record is from RNAcentral. Lineage: Eukaryota; Viridiplantae; Streptophyta; Magnoliopsida; Brassicales; Brassicaceae.
GUUUCUGGACGUUUCUGACUCU